GUUUAGUUAAGUUCUUUUUUUUUUGGUUUUUCCUUUUUUUCUUUGAAAGGUUUGAUUAGCAGUUUUGUCCGGACAGACCAAGUAUAUAUA
RNAcentral lists this small RNA (90 nucleotides) under Arabidopsis thaliana (thale cress). RNAcentral's name for it is "ATSL307060". Lineage: Eukaryota; Viridiplantae; Streptophyta; Magnoliopsida; Brassicales; Brassicaceae. The record is from RNAcentral.